RNAcentral lists this ribosomal RNA (253 nucleotides) under uncultured bacterium. Its description in RNAcentral is "partial 16S ribosomal RNA". It matches the Rfam family "Bacterial small subunit ribosomal RNA", at positions 524 to 776 of the family's 1533-position model. The record is from RNAcentral.
UACGGAGGAUCCAAGCGUUAUCCGGAAUCAUUGGGUUUAAAGGGUCCGUAGGCGGUUUAAUAAGUCAGUGGUGAAAGCCCAUCGCUCAACGGUGGAACGGCCAUUGAUACUGUUAGACUUGAAUUAUUAGGAAGUAACUAGAAUAUGUAGUGUAGCGGUGAAAUGCUUAGAGAUUACAUGGAAUACCAAUUGCGAAGGCAGGUUACUACUAAUUGAUUGACGCUGAUGGACGAAAGCGUGGGUAGCGAACAGG